This 234-nucleotide ribosomal RNA is filed under the name uncultured bacterium. RNAcentral's name for it is "partial 16S ribosomal RNA". It matches the Rfam family "Bacterial small subunit ribosomal RNA", at positions 99 to 334 of the family's 1533-position model. The record is from RNAcentral.
CGCACGGGUGAGUAACACGUAUCCAACCUGCCGUCUACUCUUGGACAGCCUUCUGAAAGGAAGAUUAAUACAAGAUGGCAUCAUGAGUUCACAUGUUCACAUGAUUAAAGGUAUUCCGGUAGACGAUGGGGAUGCGUUCCAUUAGAUAGUAGGCGGGUAACGGCCCGCCUAGUCUUCGAUGGAUAGGGGUUCUGAGAGGAAGGUCCCCCACAUUGGAACUGAGACACGGUCCAA